This 253-nucleotide ribosomal RNA is filed under the name uncultured bacterium. RNAcentral's name for it is "partial 16S ribosomal RNA". It matches the Rfam family "Bacterial small subunit ribosomal RNA", at positions 524 to 776 of the family's 1533-position model. The record is from RNAcentral.
UACGUAGGGUGCAAGCGUUGUCCGGAAUUAUUGGGCGUAAAGAGCUCGUAGGCGGUUCGUCGCGUCGGCUGUGAAAACCCGGAGCUCAACUCCGGGCCUGCAGUCGAUACGGGCGGACUUGAGUGUUGCAGGGGAGACUGGAAUUCCUGGUGUAGCGGUGAAAUGCGUAGAUAUCGGGAGGAACACCAGUGGCGAAAGCGGCGCUCUGGGCCUAAACUGACGCUGAGGGGCGAAAGCGUGGGGAGCGAACGGG